AAAAUAUCACAACGUACUAAUAAGACUCGAGAAAUUCACAUACUUAUAGGAAUGCAUGCCCCUACUUUAUUUCUUUUAUCGUGUGUUCACCGUUAAAAAUUUUUAGAAACUUGCAUAUUAAUUAAAUUUAUUAAAUUGGGAACUUUAAUUAAUAGCACUUCUUUAUUAAACUUAAUUAUUUCUGUGACUUGAGAACUCCGUCUCCCUCUUUCUUUUUAUUUCCUUAGCGGUCGCCCGAGGCGUCGCGGGCGACGCCGGUCGGUCCUUCGCAUUUCCAGCUUCAACAUUUUCUGUUCAGAAACUUAGUAAUUUAUUAAGGGAUUAAUUUAUUAAGCUCCAAACUCAAUUCCUUAAAUUAAUUCCAACCCAACAAUUAAAAUCUCGGCCCAAACUAAUAUUAAAUUUUCAGCCCAAUUGUUUAAUUCAUCACAACCGAUUCAACAAUUAUAAGAAUACUUCCUGGCCUAAUUAAAUUAGAGAGUCGGCCCACUUCCUUAAAUAAAAACAGCCCAUUAUACCAAUUAAUUAUUAGGGCCCAACAAUAUUUAAUUAAAAUGGGUACCAACCCAUUCUUCAUCACCUACGAUACUAACUCAUUUUCUCCUUCCCAAUUCCUUGCAAAUCCCUAAUUUGAGGACAACCCAGUAGCGGCGCCUGCAAAUCCUCUUCCCUUCUAUUCUCUUUUCUCUUCGCCGUCGACUCUCUACCCGGUCAAGACCCCAACGUCGUAUUCAGCCCGACAGUGAGCUCUCAGUGGUGCUGCCUCCACCGUCCAGUGCCGGUACACGCUCUGCCGCCACCGCCGUUCUCACAGCAGGAGUCGCGGUUGCUCUUCGAGCUGCCGCCGUCAACAUCUCACACCAGCCAGCGAGCACCGUCUUUGUCGCUGCUUCUCGCCGUCGAGCAGCUCCUACCGACGGCUGCUGCUACCUUCGCUCCAGCUCCCCUCCGUCUUGCCGCGAUGCUGCGAGCUCGGGGCAGCUGCUGUCCGAGAGCUUGGAAGCUGCUCGUCGUCGCCGGUUCGUCGCCAGACAGCCCCUUGAAUUUAGCUAAGUCCCCUAUCCCUUUCUUAUCCUCUUAAAACGUGGUCUAUUAAACUUUUAGUUUCUGGGCAGUAGCUUUGUUCUAAGGACUAAGAUGUUGGCUACUUAUUUUUGUCCGAGAGAUGGCUUAUGGUUUCAUAACUCAUUUUGGUACUUUAUUCUCAUGCCUUGUUACUGAUUCGUUCCAUGAGUUAGCUACUGAUCUAAGGUCUCAUCUAUGGUUCUAACAUUUCAAGCUACAUGUGGGAUUUCUAAUGUGAUGCAAAGGAUGGUGUUGGGAGAUUACCUCGGCUUGGUGAUUCCUCUUGGUUUAACGGGCUGCCCUCUCGCGCUGCCACUUCCUUCCUCCCUCAUUGCUCCUCCGUUACUUGUGGAUUUUUAGGGGUCGAAAAUGGUGAGGAAAGGAGGUGGGGGUGUGGUAUUUAUAGUCGAGCUCUUGGCUCCUUGUGGCAGCCUCGGCAGGCAACGGAAGCUGUAAUUUAGCUAAGGGUUAUCUCAUCUUUUGAAUUGAGUUUAGAACUUCUAUGCCUAAUUUGGUGUAAGGCAAUGGAGGGCUCCUGAUUCUCAAAUCUCUUGGUUCUUGUGUGGGAGAGAUUUAUGGAGUAUGGAGAGAGAUUUGAGGAGGAAAAUAUCUGAGAAACUUGGUGACCAAGUAUACUCGGUUCCUGCUCGUGGCUGUCCUCGUUGAAGUAUCCGAUUUUUCCUAGAACGCAGGAUGUAUAAAUUUAAUUUUGUUGGAUUUUUGUUGAAUGUACCGGGCAUUAAAAUUUUCAUUUUGGGAUCUUAUUUAUUUAUUUAUUAAAUUUAUUAUAUUCAUAUA
Salvia splendens (bonfire salvia) is the source of this 1863-nucleotide long non-coding RNA. RefSeq lists it as uncharacterized. Lineage: Eukaryota; Viridiplantae; Streptophyta; Magnoliopsida; Lamiales; Lamiaceae. The transcript is spliced from 2 exons. The record is from RefSeq and is a predicted model, not a curated record.